Molecule: long non-coding RNA, 997 nt
Organism: Colias croceus (clouded yellow)
Lineage: Eukaryota; Metazoa; Arthropoda; Insecta; Lepidoptera; Pieridae
Exons: 4
Source: RefSeq, a predicted model, not a curated record
ACUACGCAACGGAUUUUUAUGCGGUUUUUUUUAAUAGAUAGAGUGAUUAAAUAGGAAGGUUUAUAAAUAUAAUAAUAUUAAAUAGUGGAGAAGUACUGUUAUUUUUGAGGUUUCUAAUGUGAUGUAAAUAAUUCCAUUUUUUCCGCUUACAUUGCAAACGCAGGCUGAACCCUACGAGUUUUAUCAAAAUAAUGUACUAAGUAUUGUACACAUUGAAAAGGUCUACAGAAAAGUCCGUGAUGGUAUAUGUCUAUCUCUUAUGGAGUUAUGGAUAACGCACAAUUACUUUUUUUUGUCAUUUACUUUUUACGACAAAUAAUGGCUAAUUUUCGAAGCGAUUUUAAUCAAUACAGCAUUAAUCCUUAACCAAUUAAAUACCUUGAAUACAUUGUUCAUUUAAUAUAGAUCUAUAUGGCCAUUUACACCGUAUGAUUUAAUUGAAUAUUUUCGAAGAUAUUACAGAUUUAAAAAUUGCGGGACGUAGCGUUUGCGGCGGUACCCGCGGCCGGCCGCCAUUGCACCCGUGCGAAGCCGGGGCGGGUCGCUAGUAUUAUAAAAAAAAUGAAACCCGUUUUGCGUUGUCACGGCAAUUCUUUUGUUAUUAUAUUCCUUGAAGAACGAUGAUGGUUCUUAUAUGGAUAAAACGUAAAUAUGUACCACGGGCGAAGCCAGGACAGACUGCUUGUAUAAUAUAUACGUACCUAUAUAGACUUGUAUUAUGAAAAACGAGACAUCGUUUUGAAAAAUGGAUAACACUCAGCCAAAUUACCGAAAAAGUAAUAAAAAAGCGUUUACGUCUCUCGGCUCGAAGGAAAAAAUGUGGACCCACAAAACAAAAGAAUAAACAAGCGUUUUUAAAUGAAAACAAAGAAAACAUUGACAGUAAUGAUGUAUCACGGCUUAGUCUGGUGUUUGAAGGAAAUCGGAAUCAUCUUGACAACUAGUACAAAGGGUUUUAUUUAUAGUCCUAGAAUAAUAAAUAUCUUACACAAUUGUA